Molecule: ribosomal RNA, 468 nt
Filed under: uncultured bacterium
Lineage: Bacteria
Description: partial 16S ribosomal RNA
Rfam family: Bacterial small subunit ribosomal RNA
Source: RNAcentral
GACGAACGCUGGCGGCGUGCUUAACACAUGCAAGUCGAACGGAAAGGCCCUGCUUUUGUGGGGUGCUCGAGUGGCGAACGGGUGAGUAACACGUGAGUAACCUGCCCUUGACUUUGGGAUAACUUCAGGAAACUGGGGCUAAUACCGGAUAGGAGCUCCUGCUGCAUGGCGGGGGUUGGAAAGUUUCGGCGGUUGGGGAUGGACUCGCGGCUUAUCAGUUUGUUGGUGGGGUAGUGGCUUACCAAGGCUUUGACGGGUAGCCGGCCUGAGAGGGUGACCGGCCACAUUGGGACUGAGAUACGGCCCAGACUCCUACGGGAGGCAGCAGUGGGGAAUAUUGCACAAUGGGCGGAAGCCUGAUGCAGCAACGCCGCGUGCGGGAUGACGGCCUUCGGGUUGUAAACCGCUUUCGCCUGUGACGAAGCGUGAGUGACGGUAAUGGGUAAAGAAGCACCGGCUAACUACGUG